Molecule: unclassified non-coding RNA, 246 nt
Filed under: Paraphoma chrysanthemicola
Lineage: Eukaryota; Fungi; Ascomycota; Dothideomycetes; Pleosporales; Phaeosphaeriaceae
Description: partial internal transcribed spacer region
Rfam family: Eukaryotic small subunit ribosomal RNA (bases 1-46)
Source: RNAcentral
AAGUCGUAACAAGGUUUCCGUAGGUGAACCUGCGGAAGGAUCAUUACCUUUCAAUGCAGCAGAAUGGGGAUGGUUGAGUAUCUCGCCUCUCAGUUCUGCCUGUAUUCUACCCUUGUUUGUUCUAUACUAUUAUUUCCUCGGCAGGCUUGCCUGCCGAGUGAAACCAAUUAUAACCUUUUUCAUUUUCAAUCAGCGUCUGAAAACAAUUAAUAAUUACAACUUUCAACAACGGAUCUCUUGGUUCUG